CACCACUCAAAAAGAAAAGAGCUCCAAAAUCAAUUCCCUUCACUAACUGUCUCUCUCACGGGCGAGGAAACUCAAUCCCAGUCCCAACCUCAAUCCCAGCCCUCGAAGACAAACUCACUGCAUUCGUCUCCGACGACGAUAACACAUCAAAAGUCUUCACUAACACCAUAACAACAACUAGCACUGUCACCAUCAGCAACAAGAACAGGAGGAGAAAUCCCCCCAAUCGGCCAGAGAUUUGCCCAAAAUCAUAAAACCCUUAUCAGCCAAGGGCGAAAUUGGUCUAGCUCUGCGCCGCAAAUUGUCGCCUUUCCCACGGCGGUGGAUUUCUCAUGGCGAAAUGGGGCGGUGGAGUUCUCAUGGCGAAAUGGGUGGGUUUUUUUUUGAGGAGGGUGAAAAGAGGGAUGGUUUUAGAUGAAAAUGAGUAGGAAAUUGAUUGGGGUAAAGAAAUGAAACAUGCUUUAGAGAGAAUGAGGGGUUUUUUAGUGAUGGUUUGAUUCAAUGUUUUG
This 509-nucleotide long non-coding RNA is filed under the name Panax ginseng (ginseng). Its description in RNAcentral is "long non-coding RNA (PGIN_LNC001145)". Lineage: Eukaryota; Viridiplantae; Streptophyta; Magnoliopsida; Apiales; Araliaceae. The record is from RNAcentral.